This 232-nucleotide ribosomal RNA is filed under the name uncultured bacterium. RNAcentral describes it as "partial 16S ribosomal RNA". It matches the Rfam family "Bacterial small subunit ribosomal RNA", at positions 99 to 334 of the family's 1533-position model. The record is from RNAcentral.
CGGACGGGUGAGUAAUGCUUGGGAAUCUGGCUUAUGGAGGGGGGUAACUACGGGAAACUGUAGCUAAUACCGCAUAAUAUCGAAAGAUUAAAGGGUGGGACUUUCGGGCCACCUGCCAUGAGAUGAGCCCAAGUGGGAUUAGGUAGUUGGUUAGGUAAAGGCUGACCAAGCCGACGAUCUCUAGCUGGUCUGAGAGGAUGACCAGCCACACUGGAACUGAGACGCGGUCCAG